RNAcentral lists this small RNA (584 nucleotides) under Pongo abelii (Sumatran orangutan). RNAcentral describes it as "processed transcript". The record is from RNAcentral. Lineage: Eukaryota; Metazoa; Chordata; Mammalia; Primates; Hominidae.
CGGCCGCCUCGCAGGUACCUCCUUCCGCGCGCACGCUCCGCGCCUGAUAGCAGCGACAAGUGCCGGCUCGCGGAAAGCUAGCGGGGCUCCCUGGGCCCGGUGCGCCCGACAAUAACGCGUGAAUAACUUUUUCUUGCAGCGGUCCCCCGCGUCCCGGCCUGCAGCCUCCCCGGGCGCCGGCGCCCCCAGCACGCCCCAUCGGGCACCCCACUCCCUCCGAGGUGUGGGUGCGGCGGGCUGAUGAGGUGAUCCCUAGCCCGCCUGGGAGGAGCGCCUGGACUCGCGGGCGGCGGCGAGCGCCUUUACAAUGGCCCUGACCCUGUUUGAUACAGAUGAAUAUAGACCUCCUGUUUGGAAAUCUUACUAUUUGGAAGUCAAACCAGAAACUUCAGGCUCUACUACGAUGGCAAGCACUUUGUUGGGGAGAAACGCUUUGAGUCCAUCCACGAUCUGGUGACUGAUGGCUUGAUUACUCUCUAUAUUGAAACCAAGGCAGCAGAAUACAUUGCCAAGAUGACGAUAAACCCAAUUUAUGAGCACAUAGGAUACACAACCUUAAACAGAGAGCCAGCAUACAAAAAACA